GCAAGUCGAACGAGAACGGAUUUUAGCUUGCUAAAAUUGUCAGCUAAGUGGCGCACGGGUGAGUAAUAUAUAGGUAACGUGCCCUAGAGAAGAGGAUAACAUCUGGAAACGGUUGCUAACACUCUAUAUGCCUUUAAGUCAUAAGACUGCAAGGGAAAUAUUUAUAGCUCUAGGAUGGGACUGUACGGUAUCAGAUAGUUGGUGAGGUAAUGGCUCACCAAGUCAAUGACGCCUAACUGGUUUGAGAGGAUGAUC
This 255-nucleotide ribosomal RNA is filed under the name uncultured bacterium. RNAcentral describes it as "partial 16S ribosomal RNA". It matches the Rfam family "Bacterial small subunit ribosomal RNA", at positions 57 to 305 of the family's 1533-position model. The record is from RNAcentral.